CCUACGGGAGGCAGCAGUGAGGAAUAUUGGUCAAUGGCCGGAAGGCUGAACCAGCCAUGCCGCGUGAAGGUCAGUGCCCUAUGGGCGUUAAACUUCUUUUGUGCGGGAGCAAUAAUGGUCACGUGUGGCCAGACGAGAGUACCGUACGAAUAAGCAUCGGCUAACUCCGUGCCAGCAGCCGCGGUAAUACGGGGGAUGCAAGCGUUAUCCGGAUUUAUUGGGUUUAAAGGGUGCGUAGGCUGGGAGGUAAGUCAGCGGUGAAAUGCCCCCGCUCAACGGGGUGAAGUGCCAUUGAUACUGCCUGGCUGGAAGGCGGAUGCCGUGGGAGGAAUGUGUGGUGUAGCGGUGAAAUGCAUAGAUAUCACACAGAACACCGAUUGCGAAGGCAUCUCACGAAUCCGCGAUUGACGCUGAUGCACGAAAGCGUGGGUAUCAAACAGGAUUAGAUACCCUAGUAGUC
Molecule: ribosomal RNA, 460 nt
Filed under: uncultured bacterium
Lineage: Bacteria
Description: partial 16S ribosomal RNA
Rfam family: Bacterial small subunit ribosomal RNA
Source: RNAcentral